AGUGAUAUUGCUGGAUCAUAUGGUACUUCUAUUUUUUGAGGAAUUUCCAGAAUGUUUUCCAUAACGGCUAUACCAAUUUACAUUCCAAUCAAC
RNAcentral lists this microRNA precursor (93 nucleotides) under Marmota monax (woodchuck). Lineage: Eukaryota; Metazoa; Chordata; Mammalia; Rodentia; Sciuridae. The record is from RNAcentral.